This 106-nucleotide ribosomal RNA is filed under the name Chinchilla lanigera (long-tailed chinchilla). The record is from RNAcentral. Lineage: Eukaryota; Metazoa; Chordata; Mammalia; Rodentia; Chinchillidae.
AAAGACUGUCUAUGGCUGAACAUGCCUGAUCUUGUCUGAUCUCAGAAGCUAAGCAGGGUUGGGACUGGUUAGGACUUGGCUGGGAGAAUUCAAAAGACUGACUUUU